UACGGAGGGUGCGAGCGUUAUCCGGAAUCACUGGGUUUAAAGGGUGCGUAGGCGGCGAGGUAAGUCAGUUGUGAAAUUCCCCGGCUCAACCGGUGGGACUGCGAUUGAUACUGCUUUGCUUGAAACAGGUUGAGGUAAGCGGAAUGUGACAUGUAGCGGUGAAAUGCAUAGAUAUGUCAUAGAACACCGAUUGCGAAGGCAGCUUGCUGGGCCUUGUUUGACGCUGAGGCACGAAAGCGUGGGGAGCAAACAGG
This 254-nucleotide ribosomal RNA is filed under the name uncultured bacterium. RNAcentral describes it as "partial 16S ribosomal RNA". It matches the Rfam family "Bacterial small subunit ribosomal RNA", at positions 524 to 776 of the family's 1533-position model. The record is from RNAcentral.